Molecule: long non-coding RNA, 188 nt
Organism: Helianthus annuus (common sunflower)
Lineage: Eukaryota; Viridiplantae; Streptophyta; Magnoliopsida; Asterales; Asteraceae
Exons: 3
Source: RefSeq, a predicted model, not a curated record
CCUAUCAGAAUCUGUUAUAUCAAACGGGUUGCUGAGCAAGGGUUUCAAGCUAUUGAAGUUAAGAACUUGGUGUUGGUCGGGGUUGUGCUAUUGCUAUGCGAGCUCGGCCUAGGUACAUUCAAGCAUUGAUGGACAAAGCAAAAGUGCAUGAGUGAGAACCUGAGAUAAUAUUUAUCUUUUUGGUUUUA